GAUGAACGCUGGCGGCGUGCCUAAUACAUGCAAGUCGAGCGAACAGACGAGGAGCUUGCUCCUUUGACGUUAGCGGCGGACGGGUGAGUAACACGUGGGUAACCUACCUAUAAGACUGGGAUAACUUCGGGAAACCGGAGCUAAUACCGGAUAAUAUUUCGAACCGCAUGGUUCGAUAGUGAAAGAUGGCUCUGCUAUCACUUAUAGAUGGACCUGCGCCGUAUUAGCUAGUUGGUAAGGUAACGGCUUACCAAGGCAACGAUACGUAGCCGACCUGAGAGGGUGAUCGGCCACACUGGAACUGAGACACGGUCCAGACUCCUACGGGAGGCAGCAGUAGGGAAUCUUCCGCAAUGGGCGAAAGCCUGACGGAGCAACGCCGCGUGAGUGAUGAAGGUCUUCGGAUCGUAAAACUCUGUUAUUAGGGAAGAACAAACGUGUAAGUAACUGUGCACGUCCUGACGGU
RNAcentral lists this ribosomal RNA (466 nucleotides) under uncultured bacterium. Its description in RNAcentral is "bacterial SSU rRNA". It matches the Rfam family "Bacterial small subunit ribosomal RNA", at positions 28 to 476 of the family's 1533-position model. The record is from RNAcentral.